RNAcentral lists this ribosomal RNA (490 nucleotides) under uncultured bacterium. Its description in RNAcentral is "partial 16S ribosomal RNA". It matches the Rfam family "Bacterial small subunit ribosomal RNA", at positions 29 to 507 of the family's 1533-position model. The record is from RNAcentral.
AAUGAACGCUGGCGGCAUGCCUUACACAUGCAAGUCGAACGGCAGCAUGACCUAGCUUGCUAGGUUGAUGGCGAGUGGCGAACGGGUGAGUAAUGCAUCGGAACGUGCCUUUUAGUGGGGGAUAACGUAGCGAAAGUUACGCUAAUACCGCAUAUUCUCUGAGGAGGAAAGCAGGGGACCUUCGGGCCUUGCGCUAGAAGAGCGGCCGAUGUCGGAUUAGCUAGUUGGUGAGGUAAAGGCUCACCAAGGCAACGAUCCGUAGCGGGUCUGAGAAGAUGAUCCGCCACACUGGGACUGAGACACGGCCCAGACUCCUACGGGAGGCAGCAGUGGGGAAUUUUGGACAAUGGGCGCAAGCCUGAUCCAGCCAUGCCGCGUGAGUGAAGAAGGCCUUCGGGUUGUAAAGCUCUUUCGGCUGGGAAGAAAUCGCACCCUCUAAUACAGGGUGUGGAUGACGGUACCAGCAUAAGAAGCACCGGCUAACUACGUG